AUGAACGCUGGCGGCGUGCCUCAUACAUGCCAGUCGAGCGAACAGAUAAGGAGCUUGCUCCUUUGACGUUAGCGGCGGACGGGUGAGUAACACGUGGAUAACCUACCUAUAAGACUGGGAUAACUUCGGGAAACCGGAGCUAAUACCGGAUAACAUAUUGAACCGCAUGGUUCAAUAGUGAAAGGCGGCUUUGCUGUCACUUAUAGAUGGAUCCGCGCCGUAUUAGCUAGUUGGUAAGGUAACGGCUUACCAAGGCAACGAUACGUAGCCGACCUGAGAGGGUGAUCGGCCACACUGGAACUGAGACACGGUCCAGACUCCUACGGGAGGCAGCAGUAGGGAAUCUUCCGCAAUGGGCGAAAGCCUGACGGAGCAACGCCGCGUGAGUGAUGAAGGUCUUCGGAUCGUAAAACUCUGUUAUCAGGGAAGAACAAAUGUGUAAGUAACUGUGCACAUCUUGACGGUACCUGAUCAGAAAGCCACGGCUAACUACGUG
RNAcentral lists this ribosomal RNA (496 nucleotides) under uncultured bacterium. RNAcentral's name for it is "partial 16S ribosomal RNA". It matches the Rfam family "Bacterial small subunit ribosomal RNA", at positions 29 to 507 of the family's 1533-position model. The record is from RNAcentral.